Non-coding RNA from Phascolarctos cinereus (koala), 651 nucleotides. The record is from RefSeq and is a predicted model, not a curated record. NCBI's taxonomy places the organism in Eukaryota, Metazoa, Chordata, Mammalia, Diprotodontia, Phascolarctidae.
UACUGGAAAUCUGCCCAGACAGGUGGAGGGAUUUACUUCAAACCCCAAAGGACUCUGCACUGGGAGUCAGGGGAGGAACCUUGGUUUGAACCUUGACUCUGACACCUCCUACCCGGGUGCCUCUCGCUGAGACUCCGUGCCCUCAUCUGUAAAAUAGGGACAGUUCUCUGUACCUCACUUACAGCAGGGUUCUAGGGUCGAAACUCACAAAGCGCCCCCAGCGCCAGAGUGUGGUAUUGACUGAGCAUCUGUUACGCCUCUUGUGGGCAGCCCGGUACCAUGGACAGCGCACCAGGGACUGACUGAAUCCCUCAGGCAAGCGGCUUCCCUUCUCGGUCCCAGUCGUCUUUUCAGUAAAUUUCUUGCCGACGGCCACUGAGUGAGUUGGUGUCAGAGAGGAGACUCUAGCCAGUCCGGGGUCCUGGUUUCCAGGCCAAUGUUUCUUGGCAUCACUCUGCCCCUUGACUGGUUAGCUGGAGAGCGUCCAGAGGAGGAAGUGGUGGAUUCCCCCUCCCUGGAGGUCUCCAAGCUGAGGCUGGACAAAACUCUCGUCAGAUGUCUUUUGCCCUCCAGACCACCCAGGAUAGGCCAUAAAAUCAGGACCUGGGUCCCUGCUUGCUGAGAGAUCCUGCCCCUGGCCCCACUUCCUUG